Molecule: ribosomal RNA, 708 nt
Filed under: Stenotrophomonas sp. 4D-W-1
Lineage: Bacteria; Pseudomonadati; Pseudomonadota; Gammaproteobacteria; Lysobacterales; Lysobacteraceae
Description: bacterial SSU rRNA
Rfam family: Bacterial small subunit ribosomal RNA
Source: RNAcentral
CAUGCAAGUCGAACGGCAGCACAGUAAGAGCUUGCUCUUAUGGGUGGCGAGUGGCGGACGGGUGAGGAAUACAUCGGAAUCUACUUUUUCGUGGGGGAUAACGUAGGGAAACUUACGCUAAUACCGCAUACGACCUACGGGUGAAAGCAGGGGAUCUUCGGACCUUGCGCGAUUGAAUGAGCCGAUGUCGGAUUAGCUAGUUGGCGGGGUAAAGGCCCACCAAGGCGACGAUCCGUAGCUGGUCUGAGAGGAUGAUCAGCCACACUGGAACUGAGACACGGUCCAGACUCCUACGGGAGGCAGCAGUGGGGAAUAUUGGACAAUGGGCGCAAGCCUGAUCCAGCCAUACCGCGUGGGUGAAGAAGGCCUUCGGGUUGUAAAGCCCUUUUGUUGGGAAAGAAAUCCAGCUGGUUAAUACCCGGUUGGGAUGACGGUACCCAAAGAAUAAGCACCGGCUAACUUCGUGCCAGCAGCCGCGGUAAUACGAAGGGUGCAAGCGUUACUCGGAAUUACUGGGCGUAAAGCGUGCGUAGGUGGUCGUUUAAGUCUGUUGUGAAAGCCCUGGGCUCAACCUGGGAACUGCAGUGGAAACUGGACGACUAGAGUGUGGUAGAGGGUAGCGGAAUUCCUGGUGUAGCAGUGAAAUGCGUAGAGAUCAGGAGGAACAUCCAUGGCGAAGGCAGCUACCUGGACCAACACUGACACUGA